This 758-nucleotide ribosomal RNA is filed under the name Woeseiaceae bacterium. Its description in RNAcentral is "bacterial SSU rRNA". It matches the Rfam family "Bacterial small subunit ribosomal RNA", at positions 1 to 776 of the family's 1533-position model. Lineage: Bacteria; Pseudomonadati; Pseudomonadota; Gammaproteobacteria; Woeseiales; Woeseiaceae. The record is from RNAcentral.
AACUGAAGAGUUUGAUCCUGGCUCAGAUUGAACGCUGGCGGCAUGCCUAACACAUGCAAGUCGAACGGAAACGAUGGAAGCUUGCUUCCAGGCGUCGAGUGGCGGACGGGUGAGUAAUGCUUAGGAAUCUGCCCAAUAGUGGGGGACAACUCGGGGAAACUCGAGCUAAUACCGCAUACGCCCUACGGGGGAAAGCGGGGGAUCUUCGGACCUCGCGCUAAUGGAUGAGCCCAAGUCGGAUUAGCUUGUUGGUGAGGUAAUAGCUCACCAAGGCGACGAUCCGUAGCUGGUCUGAGAGGACGAUCAGCCACACUGGGACUGAGACACGGCCCAGACUCCUACGGGAGGCAGCAGUGGGGAAUAUUGGACAAUGGGCGCAAGCCUGAUCCAGCAAUGCCGCGUGCGUGAAGAAGGCCUGCGGGUUGUAAAGCACUUUCAGUAGGGAAGAUUGUGACGGUACCUACAGAAGAAGCACCGGCUAACUCCGUGCCAGCAGCCGCGGUAAUACGGAGGGUGCGAGCGUUAAUCGGAAUUACUGGGCGUAAAGGGCGCGUAGGCGGUUUGGUUAGUCAGAUGUGAAAGCCCCGGGCUUAACCUGGGAAUUGCAUUCGAAACUACAUGACUAGAGUAUGGGAGAGGGAAGUGGAAUUUCCGGUGUAGCGGUGAAAUGCGUAGAUAUCGGAAGGAACACCAGUGGCGAAGGCGACUUCCUGGGCCAAUACUGACGCUGAGUUGCGUAAGCGUGGGGAGCAAACAGG